Molecule: long non-coding RNA, 1336 nt
Filed under: Helianthus annuus (common sunflower)
Lineage: Eukaryota; Viridiplantae; Streptophyta; Magnoliopsida; Asterales; Asteraceae
Description: hypothetical non coding rna
Source: RNAcentral
GUUGCACCUAUUCACACAUUCAAAACCCUUAAAUCUACCGAUUCACACCAGAUUUAACCCUAAAUCUACCAAUUCACACGAAAUUUAACCCUAAAUCACAACACCGUAGUUCAGUUUCAUUAGAGAAUUGAAGCUCUGCUUCAUUGUACGAUUCAUUGAUCUUCACAAAUGAUUCAAGUGUUCGACGCAUUAGACAUAUCGAUUGAUCUUGUAAUCCAGACGAUUCAUUGAUCUUCACAAAUGAUUCUCGAAGCAUAUGCACGAUUUGGAUGAUUACGCACACGAUUUGGAUCUUCUGAACUUCGUUGUUACAGAAAGCUAGGGUUUGAUUCUGCACAUCGAUUCACAGACGAUUCUCAGGCUUUAUCUUCUGAACAGGAAUUUGCCAGGACCUGGAGCUCCCCAGAUUUGCAAUGUGGUUAUUGAGAUCACUAAAGGAAGCAAAGUGAAAUAUGAACUUGACAAGAAAACCGGCCUCAUUAAGGAGAACGGGUUCAGGAGCACGCGGAGGACGAAGCUGGUGUGCACGAUCGGGCUGGCAGAUACUGUUUCACUUUUUUUUUUAAUCGUUUCCGAGGGUCGUCUGGUUGGACGGAAGUGGGAGGCAACUGAUCCAAUGGCCUGUGGAGGAGAUUUGAUGAUAAUUUAUUUUCAUCCAUCUGGAACAUGCAGGAGAGUAUCUUGCUUCUGGUGCUGAUGGUACGAGUUAUUAAGUUGAUUUGAUGAUAAUUUAUUUCCAUUAAUAAAGAGACAAAUACACGGUUUAAACUCUUAUAAAUGUGGGUGGUGAGCUGAUAAUAUGGAAGCAGAACAAAAUACUGACUCUGGUCAAGCAUGGAAGGUCCUCAAGACACUAUCGUACGGCCUUUCGUUUCUAACAUAUAACAUAUAUGCUGAUAUUGAUACGUAAGCAAUAUACUAUCAGAUAAGCACUAAAACAAACCAGAAAACCGCCAGUUCACAGUUUAUGUCUUAUCCAAAGUCUACUACCCCUUGGGUUUUCUCAAAAGGUUGUUCGUUAUGGUGAGGUUUAUAAAUCAGAUUGGAAUGGAAUGGUAAGAUGGAUCUGAUCGUUUUAUACUAGUUUUAUUGUAUAUUAAUAGUAGUGCGAGUUCUGUUUUGAGUUUCAAUGCUUGUAAUGUUUUAGAACAAAGUGUUGCAAAAGGAUUGUAGUUUAGUUACUUCAAUUGGAUGGAAAGGAACUGAACUGUAGUUUCGAUGUUUGGAUUUGGAAAAUUUAAUUUUAGUUAUUUGAUGUUUUGAUUUGGAAGUUUAUAUUGGAUGUAUAAAUUUUUACAUUUUAAUGGAAUGGCAACAAGUUAUAAUUGUUAUGUUU